Molecule: ribosomal RNA, 253 nt
Filed under: uncultured bacterium
Lineage: Bacteria
Description: partial 16S ribosomal RNA
Rfam family: Bacterial small subunit ribosomal RNA
Source: RNAcentral
UACGGGGGGGGCAAGCGUUGUUCGGAAUUACUGGGCGUAAAGGGCUCGUAGGCGGCCAACUAAGUCGGAUGUGAAAUCCCCAGGCUCAACUUGGGAACUGCAUCCGAUACUGGAUGGCUUGAAUUCGGGAGAGGGAUGCAGAAUUCCAGGUGUAGCGGUGAAAUGCGUAGAUAUCUGGAGGAAUACCGGUGGCGAAGGCGGCAUCCUGGACCGACAUUGACGCUGAGGAGCGAAAGCUAGGGGAGCAAACGGG